Long non-coding RNA from Gossypium raimondii (Peruvian cotton), 419 nucleotides. RefSeq lists it as uncharacterized. Lineage: Eukaryota; Viridiplantae; Streptophyta; Magnoliopsida; Malvales; Malvaceae. The transcript is spliced from 2 exons. The record is from RefSeq and is a predicted model, not a curated record.
GUUUUAGGGUGCGGCCGUCGGCUUCGAGUCUAUAAAUGCACUCCAAUCGCAUUUUCCCCAUUGGCUGCUGAGAUUGUUUUGGAAAAAGGACUUGUGAGAGGCCAUUUUUUUUAUUGAAUAUGAUCUUUGUUAUUGUUACAAGUAGAGGCUCUGAGGAGGGUGAAUUAGCUGGAAUGCUUGAUUUCAUUUUCUAUUUUGAAUCUAUGCAACUUUUAUCUUUUGAUUGUUUGAAUAGAAAGUUAAUUGGUAGAACAGGGGGAAAUGUAGCGAGUGACAUUGUUGUCGAGAUUAGAGCUAUCCAUUGCUCACUUCGCUCAAUUGGCCCAGCCUCGUCUUGGUUGGGCUUCGACAAAAGGAUUUUGUUGAUUGGCUGGUUCUACUAUGCUUGAAUUUAAUUUAAGUAAAAAUUUGCUUGACAA